UACGUAGGAGACGAGCGUUGUCCGGAGUUACUGGGCGUAAAGGGUGCGCAGGUGGCGGCGCGCGUGGGGGGUGAAAUCGCCCGGCUUAACUGGGCGGGGGCCUUCCAGACGGCGUGGCUUGAGCAGCGGAGGGGGACGUGGAAUUCCGGGUGGAGCGGUGAAAUGCGUAGAGAUCGCAAGGAAGACCAGUGGCGAAGGCGGGUCUCUGGACAGUUCCUGACACUGAGGCACGAAGGCCAGGGGAGCAAACGGG
This 253-nucleotide ribosomal RNA is filed under the name uncultured bacterium. RNAcentral describes it as "partial 16S ribosomal RNA". It matches the Rfam family "Bacterial small subunit ribosomal RNA", at positions 524 to 776 of the family's 1533-position model. The record is from RNAcentral.